CCCAGAUCGUUUACCGUGAAAAAAUUAGAGUGUUCAAAGCAGGCAGAUUCAAUUUUCUGCCACCGAAUACAUUAGCAUGGGAUAAUGGAAUAGGACCCUGUCCUCCUAUUUUCAGUUGGUUUUGGCAGCGCGAGGACUAGGGUAAUGAUUAAUAGGGAUAGUUGGGGGCAUUAAUAUUUAAUUGUCAGAGGUGAAAUUCUUGGAUUUAUGAAAGAUUAACUUCUGCGAAAGCAUCUGCCAAGGAACUUUUCAGUAUGCAAGAACGAAAGUUAGGGGAUCGAAGACGAUCAGAUACCGUCGUAGUCUUAACCAUAAACGAUGCCGACCAGCGAUUAGGAGACGUUGAAUACAAAACACCACCAUUGGCCGCGGUCGUCCUUGGCCGCGGGUUCGUCCUUCACGGGGCGGGUUCCGGCGGGGGCGGCUUAGCCCGAUGGCACCGGUGAAUGACUCCCCUAGCAGCUUGUGAGAA
Molecule: ribosomal RNA, 472 nt
Filed under: Acanthamoeba castellanii
Lineage: Eukaryota; Discosea; Longamoebia; Acanthamoebidae
Description: SSU rRNA
Rfam family: Eukaryotic small subunit ribosomal RNA
Source: RNAcentral